AUCUAAUGUUGCUUAGUUCGUUCUCUCUGUUCGAUUUUCCUAGUGUUAGCAUGGUGUUAUAGCAACCAAAUUCAACAUAAUUUGAUACAUAAGGAAAUCCUAAAGUGUGAUAUUCAGAAUGGAUCAUUGUUGGCAUUUCCAGUUAACAACAAGGGUAGCUCCUGAGUACUUCAUACUAACCACAACUUCAGCUUCAAUUAACAUCAGCUUAAUAACCCAAAAAUUGUCAAUGAACAAAAAAUAGGUUCUUUCUAAAUUCCAGUUAUCGGUACUUCCAAAGCAGUUGAUCAAGUAGUGAUAUAUACUGUCAUUGCAUUCUCAACAAAAAGCAUGCAGCAAACCUUGCAACAAAAGCAAACAAAGACUGAAUGAGAACCACCUGGUUUUCUUUCCAAAACUAAAAGGGCAAUAACACGAUCGACUAUAAGUUCUUUGUUUAUUUACCCGUUGGCUGCUACAUUGAAUUUCCCUCUUAGACUUCGGGCCCACUCUUUAUUUGAGGUAUUGCUUGGUGUCGCUACAAUCUCUCUGAAAUUUCGGGUAUCUAAAGUAACAUCCUUUCUCAUUUCAUGUUAAUCUUGUGCCGCUCAUUGAACCUGACGAGAGAUUAGCGACGACUGACUGACGUGCUGUCAUUCAGCAAUGCUGCUCACUUGCCUGCCGUCCUCUUUCGUGCUCCGAGGAAUGGGGGAGUUGAGCCUUCUGCCUGCUCCAGCUACGCAGCCAGCAUCAUUCGACACAGCACGGAAUUUUCAUCUUCAGAUUGUUUGGCCAUUGUUCGAUGUGUGAUGGUGUUUCCUUGAGGACGACGAGAUGCUGAAUUUGGGGACGAGAAUAUUACGUUCUGAACUACAGGUAUCUAAAUUUGCAUGACAGACUUUAUGAGAAGUCAUGUCCUUGGCUGCUACCCUUUUCACUUCCUUAAACGGGCCUUCUUGAUUUGAGGGUAACUCCUUCGCUGCUUAUCAUGGACUUCAUCCAUUGGUGAAAACUGACGAGAGA
This is a long non-coding RNA of Daphnia pulex (common water flea), 1002 nucleotides long. RefSeq lists it as uncharacterized. NCBI's taxonomy places the organism in Eukaryota, Metazoa, Arthropoda, Branchiopoda, Diplostraca, Daphniidae. The transcript is spliced from 6 exons. The record is from RefSeq and is a predicted model, not a curated record.